Molecule: long non-coding RNA, 2426 nt
Organism: Equus caballus (horse)
Lineage: Eukaryota; Metazoa; Chordata; Mammalia; Perissodactyla; Equidae
Source: Ensembl
UAGCUAGUCCUUUUUUCCUCAUGAUGUUACUGUGAUGUAUCAUCUCUUUGAGGUAUUAUUCUUAAUUUAAUAUUUUCAUGUAUUUGUUCCAUCACAUCUGGUUUACGUAGUUCUGAUGUCUUUUCUUAUUGUAGUUUGAUGCCUAAAUAUCUAUUAUUUUGGAUUUUGAACUUGUUUUUCCCUGAAGGUACCACAUUCUUGGCUUGUAGUGUGUAUAAGGUGGGAGGAACAAGGCCAAGAACUUCCUUAUGUUUCUGGUAGGUUUAAAGUGUAAAGCAGGGGAAGAAUUCUCCAUGGCAGAGGUCACAGUACCAGAGCUGAGCUUGGACAUCCAAAUUGGAAUUUUCUCUUCAGAAAAUUCUGAAUCUCAAAAAACUGUGUCACCUGUUCCAUUAGCUUUUCUCCCUCUUUGUUCUUGGUGCUAUCUGAUGUAAUAAUUAUCUCAGAGGAAUGCAACAGAGAGAAGAAAGUCAACUUCAAAGCUCUCUUUCUGCCUAGACCUCAUGCAUAGCAGCAAGUUACAGCUGACUUCAUUACUCUCAAGAAUUCCUCAUGGGAGAAAUGAUCUUUACACACAACUUUGAUUUCCAUGGGACACAUACUGUGAUUUUUACUUGGAGAAUAACCAAAAUUGGAAACAAGAGUGCAACUGCCUGUCUUGAUACCCCUAUAUUCCUGUGAAACCCACUUGUCCCCUGAGGUUACCUGAAGAUGAUGUAUCAGUCGGAAUGCCUUUGACAAGUUCCAGUGUCAGCUGUGUUGGCUUAAACAAAAAGUACUGCAUAAGCUUCCAUAAAAAGAAAUCUCGAGGCAGGCAGCCGGUGGCUGAAUCUUUCCAUGUUCUGAUAUACCAGUCAGUCUAAGGUUUAUCCGACCUCCACUCGCUCUGUGGUUGUAGGAUGGCUAUGAAAUGCCUGUAUCUUCAUUCACUUGACUCUUCAGAGCCCUUUAAUUCAUUUCCCCAACAAUUGCAAAUCUCAAUAUUUGCAUGUUAAUAAGAUCUGCUGAAGAAAAACAUUCCUAUCUGCUCUCAUUUUUUUGCAGCACAAAAUCAUGACAGUGACUGGGUUUCAUCAUUUUUUUGCUCACAAAUUUCUACACACGGAGGGGAGCAAUCAUCAGAUUUAUCUUAAGAAUAAUUUCAACUUUAUAAUACUUUCAGAAGCCAUAGAUACAAUCAAUUUUGAUUUUAAAUACUAUUUCUUUUCCUCAGUUUCACUUUAUUUUGUUUUCCUUUUAGCUAGUUCAAUGUCUAUAGUUUGUCAGUAAGAAAUGAACACAUUAAUAAGAGUAUUUAUAGGAAAUAUUCUUUAGGAAUCAUUUCUUAAAAAUAGUCCUAUAUUUUAAAGCACAAUUUAUUUUUAAUUGAAUAUCCAAUUCGCUUAUGUCAAAUAUAAAUAAUUGAUUCUUAUGGAAAUUACAAACAGAAAAAGAAAAAUCUCUCCAAUAACAUUACCAAAAAUUAAGGACUGUGAACAUGUGUUGCUUUCCAGAUUUUGUUUAAGAUUUCUGUUAUAAUCUUACCCACAUGUAAAUUGUAACAUAUCCAAUAUAUAGUUUGUCUUAUGAUAUGUUCUCUUAGCCUUAUGCACAAAAGAAUUUUCCCAUGCCACUAUUUUUAAAAACAGUACUAUGAUAUCCGUAAAAUAUUAAAAGAAUGGAUGUAGUAUUAAUUAUUUCCAUGCUUUUAUUUUUUAGAUUAUUUCUUAUCCUUUUAGUAUUAAAAUACCAUUUUUAUGUAGUGAUUAACUUCUUUGCAUCAAUUACUAUCCACAUUUUUUAUUAAUACUGUAUCUUUAAAUUUAUUUUUUUAAUGGAAUUACUGGUUGGAUAGCAUAUGAUUUCUUAAGUUUUAUCACACAAAUGAACAUAAUUGUUAAAAAAUAUAAUUAAAAAUUUUUUCUGGGCUAUUGAUAAUUUGCCCAGAAUAUAUAUAAAUGAUGAAUAAAUAUAAAUGAUAAAUAUAUAUAAAUAUAAAAUGAUUUCAUGCUAGUUUUCAUGUAUUUUUCAUUUUAUUGCAUCAGUUACAUAGUGAAUCCUAAGUCUUCUGUGACAGCAGCUACUGAAAACUGCAUAUUGCUUUAAAGUCUACAGAAUACAGUGUAGCUUUGAGCACUUCAAUAUUUCUUCACUUUUCAUCUGUAACAUGGAUGCAUAAUUUUGCAGUAUAAGCACAAAAAUUUUGCUUUGUUUUGUUUUGUUUUUGUAAGUAGAGGUUUACAUAAAACCGGUAAUCAUAAAAUCUCUUUAUCAUUUCGCAAAAAGAAAAAGCAACUCUAAUCAGCAAGUUUUAAAAUGGAAGGUUAACUCCAUGGAAAUCUACUUUGAUGUAAUAAAUUCCAUCUUGAUGAUUACAUCUUUAAUGUAUGAAAUUCAGAUGGAAAAAUCAAAGUAAAUUUUUUGGACAUCAUGGAAAGCUAUUUCUA